ACUUAAAUUGAAGAGUUUGAUCAUGGCUCAGAUUGAACGCUGGCGGCAGGCCUAACACAUGCAAGUCGAGCGGUAACACAGAGAGCUUGCUCUCGGGUGACGAGCGGCGGACGGGUGAGUAAUGUCUGGGAAACUGCCUGAUGGAGGGGGAUAACUACUGGAAACGGUAGCUAAUACCGCAUAACGUCGCAAGACCAAAGUGGGGGACCUUCGGGCCUCAUGCCAUCAGAUGUGCCCAGAUGGGAUUAGCUAGUAGGUGGGGUAACGGCUCACCUAGGCGACGAUCCCUAGCUGGUCUGAGAGGAUGACCAGCCACACUGGAACUGAGACACGGUCCAGACUCCUACGGGAGGCAGCAGUGGGGAAUAUUGCACAAUGGGCGCAAGCCUGAUGCAGCCAUGCCGCGUGUGUGAAGAAGGCCUUCGGGUUGUAAAGCACUUUCAGCGGGGAGGAAGGCGUUAAGGUUAAUAACCUUGGCGAUUGACGUUACCCGCAGAAGAAGCACCGGCUAACUCCGUGCCAGCAGCCGCGGUAAUACGGAGGGUGCAAGCGUUAAUCGGAAUUACUGGGCGUAAAGCGCACGCAGGCGGUCUGUCAAGUCGGAUGUGAAAUCCCCGGGCUCAACCUGGGAACUGCAUUCGAAACUGGCAGGCUAGAGUCUUGUAGAGGGGGGUAGAAUUCCAGGUGUAGCGGUGAAAUGCGUAGAGAUCUGGAGGAAUACCGGUGGCGAAGGCGGCCCCCUGGACAAAGACUGACGCUCAGGUGCGAAAGCGUGGGGAGCAAACAGGAUUAGAUACCCUGGUAGUCCACGCCGUAAACGAUGUCGAUUUGGAGGUUGUGCCCUUGAGGCGUGGCUUCCGGAGCUAACGCGUUAAAUCGACCGCCUGGGGAGUACGGCCGCAAGGUUAAAACUCAAAUGAAUUGACGGGGGCCCGCACAAGCGGUGGAGCAUGUGGUUUAAUUCGAUGCAACGCGAAGAACCUUACCUGGUCUUGACAUCCACAGAACUUUCCAGAGAUGGAUUGGUGCCUUCGGGAACUGUGAGACAGGUGCUGCAUGGCUGUCGUCAGCUCGUGUUGUGAAAUGUUGGGUUAAGUCCCGCAACGAGCGCAACCCUUAUCCUUUGUUGCCAGCGGUUAGGCCGGGAACUCAAAGGAGACUGCCAGUGAUAAACUGGAGGAAGGUGGGGAUGACGUCAAGUCAUCAUGGCCCUUACGACCAGGGCUACACACGUGCUACAAUGGCAUAUACAAAGAGAAGCGACCUCGCGAGAGCAAGCGGACCUCAUAAAGUAUGUCGUAGUCCGGAUUGGAGUCUGCAACUCGACUCCAUGAAGUCGGAAUCGCUAGUAAUCGUAGAUCAGAAUGCUACGGUGAAUACGUUCCCGGGCCUUGUACACACCGCCCGUCACACCAUGGGAGUGGGUUGCAAAAGAAGUAGGUAGCUUAACCUUCGGGAGGGCGCUUACCACUUUGUGAUUCAUGACUGGGGUGAAGUCGUAACAAGGUAACCGUAGGGGAACCUGCGGUUGGAUCACCUCCUUACCUUAAAGAA
Molecule: ribosomal RNA, 1554 nt
Filed under: Klebsiella pneumoniae
Lineage: Bacteria; Pseudomonadati; Pseudomonadota; Gammaproteobacteria; Enterobacterales; Enterobacteriaceae
Description: bacterial SSU rRNA
Rfam family: Bacterial small subunit ribosomal RNA
Source: RNAcentral